RNAcentral lists this ribosomal RNA (465 nucleotides) under uncultured bacterium. RNAcentral's name for it is "bacterial SSU rRNA". It matches the Rfam family "Bacterial small subunit ribosomal RNA", at positions 29 to 507 of the family's 1533-position model. The record is from RNAcentral.
AUUGAACGCUAGCGGGAUGCCUUACACAUGCAAGUCGAACGGCAGCGCGGACUUCGGUCUGGCGGCGAGUGGCGAACGGGUGAGUAAUGUAUCGGAACGUGCCUAGUAGCGGGGGAUAACUACUCGAAAGAGUGGCUAAUACCGCAUACGCCCUACGGGAGAAAGCGGGGGGACCGAAAGGCCUCGCGCGAUUGGAGCGGCCGAUGUCGGAUUAGCUAGUUGGUAGGGUAAAGGCCUACCAAGGCGACGAUCCGUAGCGGGUCUGAGAGGAUGAUCCGCCACACUGGGACUGAGACACGGCCCAGACUCCUACGGGAGGCAGCAGUGGGGAAUAUUGGGCAAUGGAGGAAACUCUGACCCAGCGACGCCGCGUGCGGGAUGAAGGCCUUCGGGUUGUAAACCGCUUUCAGCAGGGAAGAAGCGAAAGUGACGGUACCUGCAGAAGAAGCACCGGCUAACUAUGUG